Molecule: transfer-messenger RNA, 351 nt
Filed under: Acutalibacteraceae
Lineage: Bacteria; Bacillati; Bacillota; Clostridia; Eubacteriales
Also listed under: 1 other name
Description: CAG-964 sp900316025 Standard tmRNA
Rfam family: transfer-messenger RNA
About the family: Bacterial tmRNA, also known as 10Sa RNA or SsrA, is named for its dual tRNA and mRNA-like properties.
Source: RNAcentral
GGGGGUGUAAAGGCUUCGACAGGGAUUGUAAGUCUUGGUAAGCGGGUAGUGGUGCGGAACCACUUUAAAAUCCGUAACUUUAAAUAAUAAACGACAACGAUAACGUAGUUGCAAUGGCUGCCUGAGUGCAGCCCGUCACAUUAAGAAGUACCACGGUCUUUUUGUUGGCGUGAAGAAGUGGUGAACGUGAACAGAGCAGUGUCUUGAGCUUUGUCAUGAAUUAAAGACUACCGUAGUAAUAAGCCUGUUGACUGGCGUGUUAUAAGGGGAAUCACAAAACAUCAACUACACUCGUAGAAAGCCUUGAUAAGCGAUUUCUGGACAGGGGUUCGACUCCCCUCACCUCCACCA